This 242-nucleotide ribosomal RNA is filed under the name uncultured bacterium. RNAcentral describes it as "partial 16S ribosomal RNA". It matches the Rfam family "Bacterial small subunit ribosomal RNA", at positions 15 to 257 of the family's 1533-position model. The record is from RNAcentral.
GAUCCUGGCUCCGGACGAACGCUGGCGGCACGCCUAACACAUGCAAGUCGAACGGAGAAAAUGAUUUCGGUUAUUUUCUUAGUGGCGGACGGGUGAGUAACACGUGAGGAACCUGCCUUUGAGAGUGGGAUAGCUUCUGGAAACGGAUGGUAAUACCGCAUAACAUAGCGAAACCGCAUGAUUUUGCUAUCAAAGUAUUUCGCUCAGAGAUGGCCUCGCGUCUGAUUAGAUAGUUGGUGAGG